Molecule: ribosomal RNA, 502 nt
Filed under: uncultured bacterium
Lineage: Bacteria
Description: partial 16S ribosomal RNA
Rfam family: Bacterial small subunit ribosomal RNA
Source: RNAcentral
ACUCAAAUGAAUUGACGGGGGCCCGCACAAGCAGUGGAGCAUGUGGUUUAAUUCGAUGAUACGCGAAAAACCUUACCAGGACUUGACAUCUAUAGAAUACUCUAGAAACAGAGUAGUGCCCGCAAGGGAGCUAUAAGACAGGUGGUGCAUGGCUGUCGUCAGCUCGUGUCGUGAGAUGUUGGGUUAAGUCCCGCAACGAGCGCAACCCCCAUUCUGUGUUGCCAGCAUGUAAUGAUGGGAACUCACAGGAGACUGCCCGUGGAAAGCGGGAGGAAGGUGGGGAUGACGUCAAGUCAUCAUGCCCCUUACGUUCUGGGCUACACACAUGCUACAAUGGCCGGUACAAAGGGUAGCUAAAUCGCAAGAUCAUGCCAAUCUCAAAAAACCGGCCCCAGUUCAGAUUGUAGUCUGCAACUCGACUACAUGAAGUCGGAAUUGCUAGUAAACGCAGAUCAGCUACGCUGCGUUGAAUACGUUCCCGGGCCUUGUACACACCGCCCGU